AGUGGCAGACGGGUGAGUAACAUGUAGAUAUCUGCCCUUUGGCCUGGAAUAACACGAGGAAACUUGUGCUAAUACCGGAUAAGUCUUUACGGAGAAAGCUUUAUGCACCAUUGGAUGAGCCUGCACUUGAUUAGUUUGUUGGUGGGGUAAUGGCCUACCAAGACUUUGAUCAAUAGCUGAUUUGAGAGGAUGAUCAGCCACAUUGGGACUGAGACACGGCCCAAACUCCUACGGGAGGCAGCAGUGGGGAAUCUUGCACAAUGGAGGAAACUCUGAUGCAGCGACGCCGCGUGAGUGAAGAAGGCCUUUGGGUUGUAAAGCUCUUUCGUCGGGGAAGAAAAUGACUGUACCCGAAUAAGAAGGUCCGGCUAACUUCGUGCCAGCAGCCGCGGUAAUACGAAGGGACCUAGCGUAGUUCGGAAUUACUGGGCUUAAAGAGUUCGUAGGUGGUUGAAAAAGUUGGUGGUGAAAUCCCAGAGCUUAACUCUGGAACUGCCAUCAAAACUUUUCAGCUAGAGUUUGAUAGAGGAAAGCAGAAUUUCUAGUGUAGAGGUGAAAUUCGUAGAUAUUAGAAAGAAUACCAAUUGCGAAGGCAGCUUUCUGGAUCAUUACUGACACUGAGGAACGAAAGCAUGGGUAGCGAAGAGGAUUAGAUACCCUCGUAGUCCAUGCCGUAAACGAUGUGUGUUAGACGUUGGGAAUUUAUUCUCAGUGUCGCAGCGAAAGCGAUAAACACACCGCCUGGGGAGUAC
RNAcentral lists this ribosomal RNA (752 nucleotides) under uncultured marine bacterium. RNAcentral describes it as "bacterial SSU rRNA". It matches the Rfam family "Bacterial small subunit ribosomal RNA", at positions 94 to 883 of the family's 1533-position model. The record is from RNAcentral.